RNAcentral lists this ribosomal RNA (527 nucleotides) under uncultured bacterium. Its description in RNAcentral is "bacterial SSU rRNA". It matches the Rfam family "Bacterial small subunit ribosomal RNA", at positions 389 to 909 of the family's 1533-position model. The record is from RNAcentral.
CUUCCAUUCCGCGUGCAGGACGAAGGCCUUCGGGUUGUAAACUGCUUUUGUACGGAACGAAAAAGCCUUGGCUAAUACCCGGGGUCCAUGACGGUACCGUAAGAAUAAGCACCGGCUAACUACGUGCCAGCAGCCGCGGUAAUACGUAGGGUGCAAGCGUUAAUCGGAAUUACUGGGCGUAAAGCGUGCGCAGGCGGUUAUAUAAGACAGAUGUGAAAUCCCCGGGCUCAACCUGGGAACUGCAUUUGUGACUGUAUAGCUAGAGUGCGGCAGAGGGGGAUGGAAUUCUGCGUGUAGCAGUGAAAUGCGUAGAUAUGCGGAGGAACACCGAUGGCGAAGGCAAUCCCCUGGGCCUGCACUGACGCUCAUGCACGAAAGCGUGGGGAGCAAACAGGAUUAGAUACCCUGGUAGUCCACGCCCUAAACGAUGUCAACUGGUUGUCGGGUCUUCACUGACUCAGUAACGAAGCUAACGCGUGAAGUUGACCGNCUGGGGAGUACGGCCGCAAGGUUGAAACUCAAAGGGU